Molecule: long non-coding RNA, 851 nt
Organism: Callithrix jacchus (white-tufted-ear marmoset)
Lineage: Eukaryota; Metazoa; Chordata; Mammalia; Primates; Cebidae
Source: RefSeq, a predicted model, not a curated record
GGCGAAGGAGCUGUAGUCUGUGUCCACGACGCGCACGUCCAGGUAGCCCAAGGCUGCGGAGAGUCAGGCUGCCGAUCGGCCUGGAGAAGUGGACGGGCCCGGGCACCAACCCCACCCACGCCUGCCCCUGCUGCUGGGGGCUCAACCGGAGUAAACGACUUUGUAACUUGACUUCAUCCUCUCCAUUUACAUCGGGAAACGUGUAGGGCUGAGGGCCCUACAGCAUCAUGGGCUUCUAAGAAUUUACACGGGAGCAUCGGGUGGGAAAGUGGAACCUGAAAGUGGACGAGGAUGAUGACCAUCAGAACCCGGCACCACGGAGAGGAGGUGUUUAAGCCCCUGAAUGUCUGCGGCUGGCCUGGCUAGUGUCAGGUCUUCCUCAAGAGCCAGAUGGAGCAGAGUUUUCAGUGAACUCCCUCAGUGAAAGGGGAACUACCCUAUGGCCUGCUAAGUAACUGGCACCUCCCCAGUCGCUGGCGUUACCACAAGUCCUGCCUGCUAAGUAACAGGCGCCUUCCCAGGCGCUGGCGCUUCCACAAGGUUCUCACUCUUGUCUCCUGAUCACUCCUCACAAUGUCCCUUCAGUUCCUAAUAUAUUUAACCCAAUUAUGUCUAUACUAUAAGACAGAAAUGUUCCUACACUGUAAUACUAAAUAUUAAUAGAGAAUAAUGAUGUAGGCCAGGUGUGGUGGCUCACACCUGUAAUCUCAGCACUUUGGGAGGCCAAGGCAGGUGGAUCACUAGGUCAAGAGAUCGAGACCAUCCUGGCCAACAUAGUGAAACCCAGUUUCUAUUAUUAAAAUAAAUAAAUAAAUUUAAAAAGUAAUAAAUAAAAAAGAAUAAUGAUGUUA